AGUUAUAGUACCUGGUAAAGACCAAGCUGCCCAUGCUUGAAAAACUGCCACCUGUCCAAUUCAGGGGUAUUUGAUGUCCAAAAACAUUGAAACUGAACUAAGAGUUGAGGGAACUAAGCCAUAUAGUGGAGUAACUAAGCCAUUUUUGUGUUUUGUGAGACAAAAGGUAACCAGAUGUGCAAGCCAACCAAGCCAUUCUACUGUUCCUAACUGAUUCAGUUUUGUCUCAAUGGCAAACUUUAUGUCACAUCACUACUUUUGCAAGG
Molecule: long non-coding RNA, 266 nt
Filed under: Trifolium pratense (red clover)
Lineage: Eukaryota; Viridiplantae; Streptophyta; Magnoliopsida; Fabales; Fabaceae
Description: long non-coding RNA (TPRA_LNC004777)
Source: RNAcentral